This 600-nucleotide ribosomal RNA is filed under the name Triticum aestivum (bread wheat). RNAcentral's name for it is "partial small subunit ribosomal RNA". The record is from RNAcentral. Lineage: Eukaryota; Viridiplantae; Streptophyta; Magnoliopsida; Poales; Poaceae.
AUGAAAGAGUUUUGUCAACGAGAGCAUAUUCGACUUGAUGUAUCAUCAGUGGCUCACCCCCGGUCCAAUGGUCAAGCUGAGAGAGCCAGUCAAGAAAUUUUGAGAGGCAUCAAGCCCCGGCUUAUGGUCCCUUUGCAGAGGACGCCGGGCUGUUGGGUGGAAGAGUUACCCUCAGUGUUAUGGAGUAUUAAUACUACCCCCAACAGAUCGACGGGUUACACGCCUUUCUUCAUGGUUUACGGAGCAGAGGCGGUUCUCCCUAGUGACAUCCGUCACGAUUCGCCCCGUGUGGCGGCUUAUGUUGAAGCUGACAAUAAAAAAGCACGUCACGAUGCGCUUGACCUAUUGGAUGAGGAGCGUGAUCGAGCGGCGGCUCGUUCGGCGAUUUACCAGCAGGAUCUACGCCAUUAUCAUAGCUGCCGGGUUAAAACCAGGACCUUUCAAGAAGGCGAUCUGGUGCUCCGGCUUAUCCAGGAUCAAACUGAUAUGCACAAGCUAUCCCCACCUUGGGAAGGGCCCUUCAUGGUCAGCAAAAAUCUAAACAACGGGUCUUACUAUCUUAUCGAUGUUCGAGACCACAAGGCCUCACGCACGUCAUAG